Callithrix jacchus (white-tufted-ear marmoset) is the source of this 1610-nucleotide long non-coding RNA. The record is from Ensembl. Lineage: Eukaryota; Metazoa; Chordata; Mammalia; Primates; Cebidae.
GUGGGUACAACACCAGAUGACAUUUCCACCCCCAUUGACGACAGCCCUCACCUAGCUAUCAAGGCAUGCAGGGCUGACUUUUCACCUUCAGCCUGCUCCAGGAAAUGGCCAGAUGGCAUUCAGGCUGAUUCUGUGCUUCUGGCUGACUAAUCUCUCCAGGUACAAAAGUAAACAUGGAGCUUGGGGACACCAUAUGUCCCUGACUCAUAGAGCUUGCAGGAGUCACCAUCAUUCUAUGUGGCAUCUGCUUUCCUGGGCCAAGGCGGGAGGUAGGUCAAUGUAAUGGAGGAAACGUGUUUUAAAAUACAAGGAAGAGUGACCCGAAGCAUAAAGAGGAAGUGUGCACCUGGUUGUUCAAUACUAGAUGACAUUUAUUUUUCAAAUGUGCUCUGUCUCGCUAGACAGUGUUCGACUUCCUUCACUCCUGCCACAUGGGGCUGGCCACUGUCUACAUUCAAGGGGUGUGAACUGAAUGGAGGGGUUGUAUUCUUCAUCCAUUUUCUCCAUUGGACUGUCUUGAAUUUUCCCCUAAGGUGAAAAUGAAGCAGACCCUCGCUGAGUUUAAAGGAGAUCUGACUGACAUUGGGAAGUGGCAUCCAAUAAGAUGCGUGUUUCUUCUGUCCGCUCCAGGAUGUGUCAACAGGAGAACUGAAAGCUGAAGGUGAGAGUGAAGUUUGAUUGAAGGAGAAGAGUUGGUUCAGAAGCUCAGUGAGGUCACUGCUGCUGGGGAGAGGCAGAGGGGCGCACACCAGUCACUGCUGCAAAGGGGGAUGUCUUCGAGGCAAGGGUGCUUUGAAAGGAAAUGGUUUUGAAAAGCUUCUGCUAACCUUACCCACACACGUGAAUGUCCCAGAGUCACGGCCUCCUGCUUCACUUCGCCCUGGAACAUCAUAUGUGAAUUCUCUUCUGCCUGCAUCAGCCUCUCCAUGUGCAGAUCCGUCUCAAGAGACCCCUUCAGCCGAUGCCCUCUGUGCCCCCGACACAGCCCCUUGGCCCUUGCCUUCCACACACCCGCUGCACCAGCUUCCUCCUGGCAGCACCUUCCUUUCUGCUUGAGGCUUUCCCAGGCCUCCUGCCUCUGAGAAAGUCAGAAGUUGAAGCCUCCUUGAGAGCCCGUGAGAGCUCCCUCUCCCCUGGGCAAGCGGUGCUGAUGCGUGAUCUCCGAAUCCGUCCACCAAACAGCCACUGCAGGACUGAGCUCCAGCGGCCACCAUGGAGGCAGCAGGAAAGAGAGCGCUGCUGUAUCGGGUGUGCACACCCACAGGAGCACCUGUAAACCAUGAACACACCCACAUGAGCCAGGUUGCUUUGAAUGUGGAAGCUUCCCCUCCCCAGUGUGGGCUCCUGCUCCCCGUCACGCUUAGUCUACCAGACGCUGCAGAGAGAACGUUCCGUAAGUGUAUGAGGCUGAACCUCUGCUUCUCAGGCCACUUCCAAUGGGCCUAGAGUUCUUCAGGUGCAGUUCAGUGCUGUUAAACUUGGGGUGAAAUAACUGUGGCACUGCUUCAGAGCCAACUGGCCUCUAACACAAACCAGCCCAUGUAAAUGGCGGGUACAGGCCCUGAACGAAGGCCAGUGCGCUGGGAACCAAGUCUGACCUCCUUAGCAGG